GAUCUAUAAGUAUAACCCAAACUUCUCUUUCUCCCGGUCACCUUUGUUUGUCUUAAGUGUUCUUUGUGGGUGAUUGUCUAUAUUGGGGACACACUUUGGUAAGUUAGUAGUAUCCCCACUUUGAGUCAGCAGUAUGGGAAAUGUGAGUUCAGGUCCUGAGUGACCAAUAUAUGUAUGUAUAUAUGUAUGUAUAUAUGUGUGUGUAUAUGUAUAUGUGUAUAUAUAUAAGAUAGCAGUACUUUUAAACAAAUGGAGGUUUUAAAAAUACAUAGGGAUUAAGGAGAGAACGCAGGUAACUUGUUUUUCUUUGGUUUUUACCAUAUAUUGGGGCUGAUGUGUACUGUAGUCCUUGCUGCUGCCCAGUAGUGAUGGGAGUGAGCGCAGGACUUAUCUUUCUGCAAGAUAGCAGUACUGUAUAUUAGAAAAGAAAUGAC
This 434-nucleotide long non-coding RNA is filed under the name Pelobates cultripes (western spadefoot toad). The record is from RNAcentral. Lineage: Eukaryota; Metazoa; Chordata; Amphibia; Anura; Pelobatidae.